AGAGUUUGACCCUGGCUCAGAUUGAACGCUGGCGGCAUGCCUUACACAUGCAAGUCGAACGGCAGCACGGGAGCAAUCCUGGUGGCGAGUGGCGAACGGGUGAGUAAUACAUCGGAACGUGCCCAGUCGUGGGGGAUAACGUAGCGAAAGCUACGCUAAUACCGCAUACGAUCUGUGGAUGAAAGCGGGGGACCGUAAGGCCUCGCGCGAUUGGAGCGGCCGAUGUCAGAUUAGGUAGCUGGUGGGGUAAAGGCCUACCAAGCCGACGAUCUGUAGCUGGUCUGAGAGGACGACCAGCCACACUGGGACUGAGACACGGCCCAGACUCCUACGGGAGGCAGCAGUGGGGAAUUUUGGACAAUGGGCGCAAGCCUGAUCCAGCAAUGCCGCGUGCAGGAUGAAGGCCUUCGGGUUGUAAACUGCUUUUGUACGGAACGAAACGGCUCUUUCUAAUACAGAGGGCUAAUGACGGUACCGUAAGAAUAAGCACCGGCUAACUACGUGCCAGCAGCCGCGGUAAUACGUAGGGUGCGAGCGUUAAUCGGAAUUACUGGGCGUAAAGCGUGCGCAGGCGGUUAUGUAAGACAGAUGUGAAAUCCCCGGGCUCAACCUGGGACCUGCAUUUGUGACUGCAUAGCUAGAGUACGGUAGAGGGGGAUGGAAUUCCGCGUGUAGCAGUGAAAUGCGUAGAUAUGCGGAGGAACACCGAUGGCGAAGGCAAUCCCCUGGACCUGUACUGACGCUCAUGCACGAAAGCGUGGGGAGCAAACAGGAUUAGAUACCCUGGUAGUCCACGCCCUAAACGAUGUCAACUGGUUGUUGGGUCUUCACUGACUCAGUAACGAAGCUAACGCGUGAAGUUGACCGCCUGGGGAGUACGGCCGCAAGGCAAAACUCAAAGGAAUUGACGGGGACCCGCACAAGCGGUGGAUGAUGUGGUUUAAUUCGAUGCAACGCGAAAAACCUUACCCACCUUUGACAUGUACGGAAUUUGCCAGAGAUGGCUUAGUGCUCGAAAGAGAGCCGUAACACAGGUGCUGCAUGGCUGUCGUCAGCUCGUGUCGUGAGAUGUUGGGUUAAGUCCCGCAACGAGCGCAACCCUUGUCAUUAGUUGCUACGAAAGGGCACUCUAAUGAGACUGCCGGUGACAAACCGGAGGAAGGUGGGGAUGACGUCAAGUCCUCAUGGCCCUUAUAGGUGGGGCUACACACGUCAUACAAUGGCUGGUACAGAGGGUUGCCAACCCGCGAGGGGGAGCUAAUCCCAUAAAACCAGUCGUAGUCCGGAUCGCAGUCUGCAACUCGACUGCGUGAAGUCGGAAUCGCUAGUAAUCGCGGAUCAGAAUGUCGCGGUGAAUACGUUCCCGGGUCUUGUACACACCGCCCGUCACACCAUGGGAGCGGGUUCUGCCAGAAGUAGUUAGCCUAACCGCAAGGAGGGCGAUUACCACGGCAGGGUUCGUGACUGGGGUGAAGUCGUAACAAGGUA
Molecule: ribosomal RNA, 1488 nt
Filed under: metagenome
Description: bacterial SSU rRNA
Rfam family: Bacterial small subunit ribosomal RNA
Source: RNAcentral